RNAcentral lists this ribosomal RNA (450 nucleotides) under uncultured bacterium. Its description in RNAcentral is "bacterial SSU rRNA". It matches the Rfam family "Bacterial small subunit ribosomal RNA", at positions 354 to 796 of the family's 1533-position model. The record is from RNAcentral.
GUGGGGAAUAUUGGACAAUGGGCGAAAGCCUGAUCCAGCCAUGCCGCGUGUGUGAAGAAGGUCUUCGGAUUGUAAAGCACUUUAAGUUGAGAGGAAGGGCAGUAAGUUAAUACCUUGCUGUUUUGACGUUACCAACAGAAUAAGCACCGGCUAACUUCGUGCCAGCAGCCGCGGUAAUACGAAGGGUGCAAGCGUUAAUCGGAAUUACUGGGCGUAAAGCGCGCGUAGGUGGUUUUGUAAGUUGGAGGUGAAAUCCCCGGGCUCAACCUGGGAACUGCCUCCAAAACUGCAUGACUAGAGUACGGUAGAGGGUAGUGGAAUUUCCUGUGUAGCGGUGAAAUGCGUAGAUAUAGGAAGGAACACCAGUGGCGAAGGCGACUACCUGGACUGAUACUGACACUGAGGUGCGAAAGCGUGGGGAGCAAACAGGAUUAGAAACCCCGGUAGUCC